Long non-coding RNA from Arabidopsis lyrata subsp. lyrata, 844 nucleotides. RefSeq lists it as uncharacterized. The transcript is spliced from 4 exons. The record is from RefSeq and is a predicted model, not a curated record. Lineage: Eukaryota; Viridiplantae; Streptophyta; Magnoliopsida; Brassicales; Brassicaceae.
UAGGCAAAAGCCCAUGAGCCCAUCUUGGCUUUGUUCCCAAAUUAGGUUUUCGUAAAAUAAAAGAAAGAUAACAUCUUUCAUAUCCACCCACACACCUUCGUCUUCUUCUCCUCUCGAACAGAUCUGAAAAAUAAUGCCGUGUUCUAAACUUUCGAAUUUGGCACUCUCUUUCGAUUCCGAUGGGCUGCGUCCUCCAGAAACGCCGUUCAGCCGCUGCGUUAUAGUCGUCCGUCGAUGUUCAGGCCAAUGGAGCCGAUCAUUUUCUCUAUUCGCGGAGAGUCAUCGUUCAUCGUCGAUGUCACCAUUCUAAUUUCUUCCUCUACUCCUCUCAACAAUGGCGGCACCAAAUCCUCCUCCUCAUAUUGGCCCUAUUGGCCCUCUCCGUAGACCAGGCUGGUACAAUCUCCAGACAAUCCAUGAAAAUCACGUUUGAAUUUAUCCACAUAGAGGGACCCUGGAUGGUGUGAGGUAUACGGAGAGUACCAAUUUUGUGAAUGAAGCAUAUCGGCGGAGGGUCCACCGCAGGUCUCAGCUCCAUGGAACCUUGGCUGUCGUGCACUACCGCAUCGUCUAGAGUUCACUUUUCUCCACCUCUUUCUAGAAAGAAGAGUAUAAUUCGGAGAAAGAUGAAGAUCGUCCAAUAGUGAUCUACGGAUAGCUAACAAAAACUUAUAUAUAUAUAUAUAUCCACAGUUAUAACUUCAGCUCUUUCUAGAAAAACUUAUUUAGGAUCUAUAUAGACGGUCGGUUAUGUAUUAUCCACUAUUAUUACUUCAGCUCUUUUUACAAAAGCUUGCUUAGUAUCUAUAUAGACGGUUAUAUAUUAUCCACAAUUAUUAACAUC